This 403-nucleotide ribosomal RNA is filed under the name uncultured bacterium. Its description in RNAcentral is "bacterial SSU rRNA". It matches the Rfam family "Bacterial small subunit ribosomal RNA", at positions 356 to 773 of the family's 1533-position model. The record is from RNAcentral.
AGGGAAUAUUGCACAAUGGAGGAAACUCUGAUGCAGCGACGCCGCGUGAGUGAUGAAGGCCUUCGGGUCGUAAAGCUCUGUCGCAGGGGAAUAACACAAUGAAGGUACCCUGUAAGAAAGGAUCGGCUAACUUCGUGCCAGCAGCCGCGGUAAGACGAGGGAUCCUAGCGUUGUUCGGAAUUAUUGGGCGUAAAGCGGAUGUAGGUGGCUAUGUAAGUCAGAUGUGAAAGCCUGGGGCUCAACCCCAGAAGUGCAUUUGAUACUGCGUAGCUUGAGUGUCGGAGAGGUUACUAGAAUUGUUGGUGUAGUGGUGAAAUACGUAGAUAUCAACAGGAAUACCGGAGGCGAAAGCGGGUAACUGGCCGAACACUGACACUGAGAUCCGAAAGCGUGGGGAUCAAAC